UGAGCUACAGCCAGGGACACCAUGCAGUGACCAUGAACACCGUGCUACAGCCAGGGACACCAUGCAAUGACCAUGAACACCGUGCUACAGCCAAGGACACCAUGCAAUAACCACGAACACCGUGCUACAUCCAGGGACACCAUGCAAUGACCAUGAACACCAUGCUACAGCCAGGGACACCACAAAAUGCUCCUGAGCAUCAUGCUACAGCUAGGGAUGCUGUGCAAUGACCACGGGCGCCAUGAUGCAAUCAGGGACACCAUGCAAUGACCACAAACACCAUGCUACAGUCAAAGGUACCAUGCAACAACUGUAAGCAUGAUGUUAGAGCCAGGGACAUCAUGCAAUGACCACGAGCACUGUGCAAUGACUGUGAACACCAUGCUGUUGCCAGGAAUGCCAUGCAGUGGCCACGGGAACCACACUGCAGCCAUGGGCACUGUGCCACAGUCACAGUGAAAACACUACAAUCAGGGUGAUUGUGCUGCAGCUUGGGACAUCAUGCUGCAGCCAUCAUCACUGAGCAAUAGCUAUGCACAGCGCUACAGCUGAGGAACAUGUGCUACUCCAUGCCACAGCUGCAGUCACUGUGCUGUGGCUGAGGUCACCUAGCUGAUCAUGGCCAGCCUGCUGCAGCAACCACACUGCAGCCGGGACACCUUGCUACAGCUAUGGUCACCAUGCAGUGGCAAGGUCUAUAGCCGGGGCAACCCAUGCUGCUGGAGCAGAGGUGCCGUGACCCCGAGCACAAAUGGAGACAGAUCAUCACAUGGACCUGGGGCAAGAGGUAGGAACAAAGACUGAUGGAGAUGCAGCUCCCACUUUGCUUGAGCGGGAAGGGAGAAAAUCAGAGCUGCGGGACAGGAAGAGGCCAAGACCCACCCCUUCCCCAGGGAAAAGACAAGGAGAAAAAGGACAGGAAGCUUGCAGAGGAAAACCCUCAAUUAUUACAAAGGGAGUUUCCCCCCACAGCUCCAGAACCUGCUCCUUAGCUUUCGUAGCACCGUGACGAUGAUCCCGGUUCCAUAGAUACCGAUACCAUGACAACUCUGACAUCAUCUCUGCUUCGGACAGGAACUGCAGGGAAGGCGCAGGGAGCAGUACGCAUGCACGGCUGGCACCGAGCAGGCCUGCAGGCAAGGCUGGGGGCUGCAGGGGCUCCAUCACCACCUCCCCCAGACCCGUGCAGCUCUGGGACCUGCGCUGCCGCUGCUGGAUCACAUGGGGAUGUCCCAUGGAGCUGGCCAGGGCUUUCACCCCAGCACCGAUAGCAUCACCUGAACUGCAGGUUAAGAACAAAGAACAUAUUUAUUUAAAGGAUUAUCACAGGACCUCUGCUGAAGGCUGGCCACAGCUGAAGUCAAUUGCCUGUAACUUGUGCAAUUAGAGAAGAGGUAUUGCACAUAGCCACUGGUUUGACAAGUAACUGAAGUCACCAAAAUCUCCACCCAUGACCCACAAAAGGGACUGGAGCAGCUUGCUAUUCUAAAGAAGUGCAAGAAAGAAAUGGGAAAGUCAACUAAAUACACACUUUGUUGCCCUCUACUGUUUACAUGGUUAAUGUGCAAAGCAAGUUUUCCCUGUAGUUAACACAGACUUGAGAUGAACACUGCAGUAACAGACAAGAGAGGCCAAGAAGCAUGAUGAUAUGCAAUAUUUGGGAGAGAAAAAUCUAGGGCUAGGAAGAGACUUCUGCAUAAGGAGUACUCUAAAGAAAAAACAGCCUGCUCAAGGACAAAGCAUAGAAACAGAGGGUACCUUUCAGCAGCAAGCAAUGAAGCAAUGUCACAGCAGACAGGAGCAGAACUCAGCAAGCCUGAAUGCCAGAGACAUUGCCUAGACAGUGCUGGAUGCUGUGACCCCAGGCAAACAUCAGUGCAGCUUUCAGGGCUGGAUUAGCCUUCACUAGCCCUGACUGUGAAUUCACUGUGCAUUGCUGCAAAUACCUGAACUGGCAAGGAAGUACCUACGGUGCUCACAUACACUUCCUCCCAAGAUAUGCCAACCCGUGCCAGUGCUCCAGCUGACCCCAGUGCUGACACUGGGGGGGGGGGAGGGAAGCAAACCCCCUGCCCUCUCCAAGCCUGUAAAACUUCAACAGGAAGCAAUAACACCCACAACCUGUAGCAGGCUGCAGAAACCUGCAGGCAAAGCCACUCCAGAAAAUCUUACUGUAAGUAUGAGACUGUAUACACCCAACACACUGCAAAGGAACAGCUAAUCCCUGGAAAAAUGUUAAAGGCAUAGUGCUGCUUACGUCAACAUCUGUGCUUGCCACUCGCUCAAGCAAAUCUGCUUCCCAUUCAUGAAGACAAUCCCCUCGUGGCUCCCUGCUCUUUGCUUUUCGGGGAAAAAGAAAUCAGUUAUAAGUGGAAACCAGUCCAUGAAAACAUUAAGUCUUAAGUAAGUGAAGCUGAAAGAUUACCUAGGUGCCAAUUACAUAGCAGCUGUGACCGAGCAUGGUCUCACAACCUCCUUAAGCAUCACCUGCUCCUGACUGCGCUUUUCUUGCAAGGAUUUCUCGGAUCGAUACGAAGCAGCUUCCCCUCUCCGGCUCUGCACGGAGUGCUAUGGAGUGAAUUUGCAGCUAAAGACUUCGCCCUCCAGUGGAUGACACCCUUAACUGCCAUCUCACUCAAAUGCACCAAGAUUUAAGCUACUACGACUGUACUGCUACCUCCGUUGCUGGUAGAAGCAUAUCACAAAAAGCAUCCUAGCAGUCCCCAGAUUAAACUAACAGGCAAGGAUCUGGUCUACAAAACCACUGCUGCUUUUUGCAGCUUCGUGGUUUGAAGAGAAUUGCCUCAACUCAGAAGCACAACAGAAAAGGAUUGGUUGCAGCCCCACCUCGAGUAAUCAGUACACACAGGAUCACAAUUCAGCAGAGCAGUCAAGCUCAGACAAGCCACAGGCACGCAGAUGGUUAGACAUACCACGGCACCGGGAUACCUCUUCCUAGGACUUCAUGCAGCAGGGAAGUUAGGAAUAAACUCAGUUGCUUUUAUUGUUUUCACAUUGACAGAAAAUAUAAUUUGAAUACAAUUAUUUUUAAAACUAGA
Numida meleagris (helmeted guineafowl) is the source of this 3059-nucleotide long non-coding RNA. RefSeq lists it as uncharacterized. The transcript has 3 exons. Lineage: Eukaryota; Metazoa; Chordata; Aves; Galliformes; Numididae. The record is from RefSeq and is a predicted model, not a curated record.